GGGGAAUAUUGCACAAUGGGGGAAACCCUGAUGCAGCGACGCCGCGUGGAGGAAGAAGGUCUUCGGAUUGUAAACUCCUGUUGUUGGGGAAGAAAAUGACGGUACUCAACAAGGAAGUGACGGCUAACUACGUGCCAGCAGCCGCGGUAAAACGUAGGUCACAAGCGUUGUCCGGAAUUACUGGGUGUAAAGGGAGCGCAGGCGGGAAGACAAGUUGGAAGUGAAAUCCAUGGGCUCAACCCAUGAACUGCUUUCAAAACUGUUUUUCUUGAGUAGUGCAGAGGUAGGCGGAAUUCCCGGUGUAGCGGUGGAAUGCGUAGAUAUCGGGAGGAACACCAGUGGCGAAGGCGGCCUACUGGGCACCAACUGACGCUGAGGCUCGAAAGUGUGGGUAGCAAACAGGAUUAGAUACCCUGGUAGUCCACACCGUAAACGAUGAAUACUAGGUGUUGGAGGAUUGACCCCUUCAGUGCCGCAGUUAACACAAUAAGUAAUCCACCUGGGGAGUACGACCGCAAGGUUGAAACUCAAAGGAAUUGACGGGGGCCCGCACAAGCAGUGGAGUAUGUGGUUUAAUUCGACGCAACGCGAAGAACCUUACCAAGUCUUGACAUCCCUUGACGAUGCUGGAAACAGUAUUUCUCUUCGGAGCAAGGAGACAGGUGGUGCAUGGUUGUCGUCAGCUCGUGUCGUGAGAUGUUGGGUUAAGUCCCGCAACGAGCGCAACCCUUAUGGUCAGUUACUACGCAAGAGGACUCUGGCCAGACUGCCGUUGACAAAACGGAGGAAGGUGGGGAUGACGUCAAAUCAUCAUGCCCUUUAUGACUUGGGCUACACACGUACUACAAUGGCGUUAAACAAAGAGAAGCAAGACCGCGAGGUGGAGCAAAACUCAGAAACAACGUCCCAGUUCGGACUGCAGGCUGCAACUCGCCUGCACGAAGUCGGAAUUGCUAGUAAUCGUGGAUCAGCAUGCCACGGUGAAUACGUUCCCG
RNAcentral lists this ribosomal RNA (995 nucleotides) under uncultured bacterium. RNAcentral describes it as "bacterial SSU rRNA". It matches the Rfam family "Bacterial small subunit ribosomal RNA", at positions 356 to 1376 of the family's 1533-position model. The record is from RNAcentral.